RNAcentral lists this long non-coding RNA (381 nucleotides) under Hordeum vulgare. RNAcentral describes it as "long non-coding RNA (HVUL_LNC020236)". The record is from RNAcentral. Lineage: Eukaryota; Viridiplantae; Streptophyta; Magnoliopsida; Poales; Poaceae.
UGGUUUUUUGUUUGAGCCCCCCCUCCCUCCCUUGGCCCCCUGGCCUGCCUCUCCCUCUCCCUCUGCCUCUGCCUGGUUGGGGAAGCGGAAGGGGAUGGGGGGACGGGCGCCUGCCUGCUUUGGUUUCUCCUCCCCUCCCCUCCUCUCCCCUCCCCGACCCGGCACGGCUCGGCGCGGCUCGGCGGCCCGGUGCUGCUGGUCUGGUCUGGUGGUGGUCGCGACGCCUACGCUACGCGCAGGAGUACGUGCGACUGCUACCGUACCGAUGAGGCGCUGCUCCACCGCUACGAUUUGUGGUGUGGUGUGGUUGGGUCUGGGUGGCGUGCCUGCCUUUUUCUAUUAAAAUCUCGCCGUCGCCUGGAUUUGGGGUCGGCGUCCCUU